CAGCAGUGUGAUUCACAUCAAUGUAGUUAUCAGUAAUAAUAGUUAAAUGACAGAGCAGCUGUGUGAUUCACAUCAAUGUAGUUAUCAGUAAUAAUAGUUAAAUGA
Molecule: non-coding RNA, 105 nt
Organism: Salvelinus sp. IW2-2015
Lineage: Eukaryota; Metazoa; Chordata; Actinopteri; Salmoniformes; Salmonidae
Source: RefSeq, a predicted model, not a curated record